UACGGCCUACGGGAGGCAGCAGUCGGGAAUAUUGCGCAAUGGAGGAAACUCUGACGCAGUGACGCCGCGUAUAGGAAGAAGGUUUUCGGAUUGUAAACUAUUGUCGUGAGGGAAGAAAUUGACAGUACCUCAGGAGGAAGCUCCGGCUAACUAUGUGCCAGCAGCCGCGGUAAUACAUAGGGAGCGAGCGUUAUCCGGAUUCAUUGGGCGUAAAGCGCGCGUAGGCGGCGCGUCAAGCGGGACCUCUAACCCCGGGGCUCAACCCCGGGCCGGGUCCCGGACUGGCGCGCUCGAGUGCGGUAGAG
Molecule: ribosomal RNA, 305 nt
Filed under: uncultured bacterium
Lineage: Bacteria
Description: bacterial SSU rRNA
Rfam family: Bacterial small subunit ribosomal RNA
Source: RNAcentral